ACCCGGGGUUAGGACUUCAACAUAUCUUCUUUUGGUUCAAUCCUUAGCAUCUUGCUUGAGGGUGACACAGGGAUCCCUGCCCCCCAAGAGAACACAACUUCUGGGAAGGGGUCUGCUAGACUCCCCUGCCGGCAAUGGGACCAAUGACACGCUCAAAGGACCGAACCAUCUGGACACACUUCCUACUGUCACAGCGGCCCACUGUGUCAGUGACAUCAUGCUAAUCUGAGUUGAAGGAACAAGAAGUGGCAAGUAUGUUGGAGGCCUCGUUAAGGCGCGUGAGCUCUGCAGGGCUCAGGAGGCCACCACACUGGCACCUGCUUAGGAGUUCAGUGGUCCAUAGCGUGCUGGGACGUCCUCUGUGAAGGAAAGAACAGAUUACUGCAUCCUGCACCUGCCAUCACCAAGGAGGAGGGAGUGCGAUACUUGGAGGCCUCUUGGGGUUCUGAAGCUCGCUGACUCCACAUGUGAGCAUCCUGAGUGACACGGAAGGGAAGGCUGCCGUCUUUGAUUGGGUCACAGAGCCGGAAAAGACCCUGUAGAAAUGCUAAGUAUGGUACGCGCGUCCCUUGGGACGUACACAGGGGCCGAGCUUCUGCCUGUGGUGUUAGAGGCAUUUAUGGUGGGAAAGAUGCUGUGUGGAGUUUAUGAUAAAGCCCAAUAGGAUCGUCACAAUGCAGACACUAAGGUUCCAGAGCAAGGCCCUGCGUCUACAGAGGAGAAUUGGAUCCACUUAUGCUACAGCUCCGGCUUGCUGCUGGCUCUGGAGGAGGCGGAGGGCCUAACUGCGAGACAUUAGGUGACCACACAGCCAGAAUCGACCGACAUGACCGGGAUUGUCCCUGACCCACCGCAUCAUAAUAGAGUCAUGCCCACCCAGCAGCCGUCCACCAGAACAGAGACACGGCACAGCUACAUCAGGAAUAGUCACAGCAAAAAGUCACAGCGGAGCCGCAGGAGCAGGAGUCUGCUGGACUUAACCUGAGAACACUUACGAGGGGGAAAGGUCUGUGGGACAAAGUAGAGCCCCACCUCUGGUUCCGGCCCUGAAGGCAGAGGUGAGAGGAAAUCUUCCCAAAGAGCAGAGCUUUAGAGAAGCUGUUCCCAAACUGGGGGAACUUACUAUCUGCCGCAGGUGGAUCUGGCCUCGAGGGCUGUAGGGGAUGCCAGGGUGUGUUGGUUACAGCCCCUCAGGACAGAGCUACUUACUACUUACUCCUCUAACUGCCAGAAGUGUUGCCUGCUGCCUGCCCAGAGCCACGACUCUCUCUAGAAAUUGCCUUCUGCCAAAGCAAGCUGCCUCACCCAGGAUAAUUCAUCCUCUCCAGGGCGGCACCCCUUGACUGGAAAAUGGGGGACAAUAGAUGUUGCCUCAGCUUGGGGCAUCUCCAAGCAACCGUCUGACUCUCAGAGCUUCCCACGUUGGUAGCUGAGCCUCUGUUACAGCUUCUCCCUGCACCCAGCUCUGUAUCUGGCUUCGCCGCAUGUGUUGCUGCACGUACAUUUCGGAGUCUCCGAGUCUAUUACGGAACUCAACCUAACAUGUCAGAGAAAGGACAUUGAGUUUUAUGAACUCCGUUGACCCCACCUCCUCCACGCUCCAGGACCCCCGCGGAAGAACGUAGCGGCCUGGACUGCAGCCUCACCCCCGCGCAGCGCUGUGGGCAUGUUGGACACGGCCCUCCUGGACCCCUCGGCCUCCGGUCCUUCAGGCGCACGGGGGACUGGGGACAGGGCCAGCCCAUGGGAGGCCC
Canis lupus familiaris (dog) is the source of this 1754-nucleotide long non-coding RNA. RefSeq lists it as uncharacterized. Lineage: Eukaryota; Metazoa; Chordata; Mammalia; Carnivora; Canidae. The transcript is spliced from 3 exons. The record is from RefSeq and is a predicted model, not a curated record.